This 424-nucleotide ribosomal RNA is filed under the name uncultured bacterium. RNAcentral's name for it is "partial 16S ribosomal RNA". It matches the Rfam family "Bacterial small subunit ribosomal RNA", at positions 358 to 774 of the family's 1533-position model. The record is from RNAcentral.
GGAAUUUUGGACAAUGGGCGAAAGCCUGAUCCAGCAAUGCCGCGUGCAGGAGGAAGGCCUUCGGGUUGUAAACUGCUUUUGUACGGAACCAAAAGCUUGGGGUUAAUACCAUGGCGUCAUGACGGUACCGUCAGAAUAAGCACCGCAUAACUACGUGCCAGCCGCCGCGGUAAUUCGUAGGGUGAAAGCGUUAAUCGGCAUUACUGGGCGUAAAGCGUGCGCAGGCGGUUUGGUAACACAGAGGUGAAAUCCCCGGGCUCAACCUGGGAACUGCCUUUGUGACUGCAAGGCUAGAGUACGGCAGAGGGGGGGGGAAUUCCGCGUGUAGCAGUGAAAUGCGUAGAUAUGCGGAGGAACACCGAUGGCGAAGGCAACCCCCUGGGCCUGUACUGACGCUCAUGCACGAAAGCGUGGGGAGCAAACA